Sinocyclocheilus grahami is the source of this 280-nucleotide long non-coding RNA. RefSeq lists it as uncharacterized. Lineage: Eukaryota; Metazoa; Chordata; Actinopteri; Cypriniformes; Cyprinidae. The record is from RefSeq and is a predicted model, not a curated record. The transcript is spliced from 4 exons.
AGAGGAAGAGGAAGAGGAUACGUCAUAAUCGAACAUGGAAGAGAAGAACGAUGAUGUUUUCAAAUGGACAGAUGAGCACACACGUGUGCUUAUCCGGUGGAGAGUGGCUAAUGAGGCUCUCUUCACCGGAAAACUAAAUGCAGCCAUCAAAGGCUUUGAAGCUUUUGUGAUGGAGCAGGGCCUGCAAGACAGGGUGACGGCGGCCUUUGUAAAAAAAAUAAUAAAAUAAAAAAAAUUGGGUAAACCUGAAAAAAUAUAUAAAGAUCUCAAAUGUCCGGCA